GAUAAAUUGUUGAAGAAGUUGAAAUUAUCGAAAGAGAUUCACUACGAUCUAUAUUCACACAAGCAGAGUAUUCUCGAGAAGAAAUUGAUGAGGUGCGAUCGGAGUUGACAGAAUGUAUACAAGAUCAUAUUUAUGAGUAGGUGGAUACAGGACAGUCGAGAUCAGUACACUAAGGAGCGUCUAGAUUCAGUAAUUGAUCAGUACACUAAGCGUCUGGAUUCAGUAACUACUGUACUGUUUUGAGUAAAUAGAUUGUUGGCUACUUCUUCAGUAUUCAGUAGCUACUUCUUAGAAGUAAACAGAUUGUUGGCUAAACAGAUUGUAGCUGUUCAAAACAGAUUUUUUGUGCUCUUUCGUUUUAUAUGUGAAUAUCACUAUAUACUUUGAAACAAAAUUAGUGUUAAUU
Zingiber officinale is the source of this 406-nucleotide long non-coding RNA. RefSeq lists it as uncharacterized. The transcript has 3 exons. Lineage: Eukaryota; Viridiplantae; Streptophyta; Magnoliopsida; Zingiberales; Zingiberaceae. The record is from RefSeq and is a predicted model, not a curated record.